GGAACUUAUAGAGUUUUUGGCGGAAUGGUGAAAUGGGCAGCCGUAGAUUCAUUAAGCGACUUUGAUACCAUGGGAGACUACUUUUACGAUUCCGAUACUGGUCCGAAUCUCGAAGGAGGCUUACAAUACUACUUGAACUACUUAGUGCAAGACGUAAUCAUGAUAGAAGACAGAAACGAUCCGUCGACACAGCUGUAGAGAUACAUACCAGAGAUUUUUCUGCUACUGCUAAUGAACCACCUGCGAACUGGGGAGCAGGAUCAACCAGAGGAUAAUAGAUUACACUAUUUUAAUCAAUAAUCAAAUUCCUAAUAAAUAUAAUCAUAC
Mytilus trossulus (common blue mussel) is the source of this 327-nucleotide long non-coding RNA. RefSeq lists it as uncharacterized. Lineage: Eukaryota; Metazoa; Mollusca; Bivalvia; Mytilida; Mytilidae. The record is from RefSeq and is a predicted model, not a curated record. The transcript is spliced from 3 exons.